RNAcentral lists this ribosomal RNA (349 nucleotides) under uncultured bacterium. RNAcentral's name for it is "bacterial SSU rRNA". It matches the Rfam family "Bacterial small subunit ribosomal RNA", at positions 917 to 1269 of the family's 1533-position model. The record is from RNAcentral.
GGGCCCGCACAAGCGGUGGAGCAUGUGGUUUAAUUCGAUGAUACGCGAGGAACCUUACCAGGGCUUAAAUGUAGUCUGACAGGACUGGAAACAGUUUUUUCUUCGGACUCAUUACAAGGUGCUGCAUGGUUGUCGUCAGCUCGUGCCGUGAGGUGUCAGGUUAAGUCCUAUAACGAGCGCAACCCCUAUCGUUAGUUGCCAGCGAGUAAUGUCGGGAACUCUAACGAAACUGCCAGUGCAAACUGUGAGGAAGGUGGGGAUGACGUCAAAUCAUCACGGCCCUUACGUCCUGGCUACACACGUGCUACAAUGGCGGUGACAAAGGGAUGCAAUAGGGCAACCUGGAGCA